UACGGAGGGUGCAAGCGUUAUCCGGAUUUACUGGGUUUAAAGGGUGCGUAGGUGGGCAGGAAAGUCAGUGGUGAAAUCUCGGGGCUUAACUCCGAAACUGCAUUCGAUACUGCCGUGCUUGAGGACUGGAGAGGAGACUGGAAUUUACGGUGUAGCGGUGAAAUGCGUAGAUAUCGUAAGGAAGACCAGUGGCGAAGGCGGGUCUCUGGACAGUUCCUGACGCUGAGGCACGAAGGCCAGGGGAGCAAACGGG
RNAcentral lists this ribosomal RNA (253 nucleotides) under uncultured bacterium. Its description in RNAcentral is "partial 16S ribosomal RNA". It matches the Rfam family "Bacterial small subunit ribosomal RNA", at positions 524 to 776 of the family's 1533-position model. The record is from RNAcentral.